GACAGAGGGUGCAAACGUUGUUCGGAAUUACUGGGCGUAAAGCGAGUGUAGGCGGUCCGCUAAGUCGGGUGUGAAAGCCCUGGGCUCAACCCAGGAAGUGCACUCGAAACUGGCGGGCUAGAGUACUGGAGAGGUUGGUGGAAUUCUCGGUGUAGAGGUGAAAUUCGUAGAUAUCGAGAGGAACACCGGUGGCGAAGGCGGCCAUCUGGACAGAUACUGACGCUGAGACUCGAAAGCGUGGGGAGCAAACAGG
Molecule: ribosomal RNA, 253 nt
Filed under: uncultured bacterium
Lineage: Bacteria
Description: partial 16S ribosomal RNA
Rfam family: Bacterial small subunit ribosomal RNA
Source: RNAcentral